Mycetomoellerius zeteki is the source of this 150-nucleotide long non-coding RNA. RefSeq lists it as uncharacterized. The record is from RefSeq and is a predicted model, not a curated record. The transcript is spliced from 2 exons. Lineage: Eukaryota; Metazoa; Arthropoda; Insecta; Hymenoptera; Formicidae.
CCGCGAGGGGUCACAAAAUUAGAGUAUAUAAGCGAAGCGUUAGCAGGCCGAAUAUCCUCAUUCUCCUCAAAUCCUAGUGCGACAAAAGAUGCCCAAGGCAAAGAGACCGCGCGGGAAAAGGGGAGGGUGGAGAGUCCACCUCAGGAACCU